AUUAUGAUUGUUACGGCCCUGAGUACGCCUGAUCUCAUCUGCUCUUGGAAGCUAAGCAGGGUUGGGUGGGGUUAGUACUUGAAUGGGAGAGUGCCUUGGAAUAGCUGGUGCAUUAGGCUU
This is a non-coding RNA of Scleropages formosus (Asian bonytongue), 120 nucleotides long. NCBI's taxonomy places the organism in Eukaryota, Metazoa, Chordata, Actinopteri, Osteoglossiformes, Osteoglossidae. The record is from Rfam.